Molecule: long non-coding RNA, 1239 nt
Organism: Sinocyclocheilus anshuiensis
Lineage: Eukaryota; Metazoa; Chordata; Actinopteri; Cypriniformes; Cyprinidae
Exons: 5
Source: RefSeq, a predicted model, not a curated record
AGAGGUGUUCUGGGUGUUUUUUGUGUGUUGCAGUUGCUAUGGUGUUCAGAGUGAAAGUGUGCAUGGUGUUUCUUAGCUGACUGCUUUGUAAUUACUGAGGUGUUCAGAGUGUUUUUUAGCGUGUCGCUGUGCGGUUACCAAAGUGUUCAGAGUGUUUUUUAGCGUGUCGCUGUGCGGUUACCAAAGUGUUCAGAGUGUUUUUUAGUGUGUCGCUGUGCGGUUACCAAAGUGUUCAGAGUGUAUUUUAGUGUGCUGCUGUGCAGUUACCAAAGUGUUCAGAGUGUUUUUUAUUGUGUCGCUGUGCGGUUACCAAAGUGUUCCGAGUGUUUUUUAGCAUGUCGCUGUGCGGUUACUGAGGUGUUCCGAGUGUUUUUUAGCAUGUCGCUGUGCGGUUACCGAGGUGUUCCGGGUGUUUUUUAGCGUGUCGCUGUGCGGUUACCAAGGUGUUCCGAGUGUUUUUUAGCGUGUCGCUGUGCGGUUACUGAGGUGUUUCCGUGUGUUUUUUUAGCGUGUCGCUGUGCGGUUACCGAGGUGUUUCCGUGUGUUUUUUAGCGUGUCGCUGUGCGGUUACCGAGGUGUUUCCGAGUGUUUUUUAGCGUGUCGCUGUGCGGUUACUGAGGUGUUCCGAGUGUUUUUUAGCGUGUCGCUGUGCGGUUACCGAGGUGUUCCGAGAGUUUUUUAGUGUGUUGCUGUGCGGUUACCGAGGUGUUUCCGAGUGUUUUUUAGCGUGUCGCUGUGCGGUUACCAAAGUGUUCAGAGUGUUUUUUAGCGUGUCGCUGUGCGGUUACCAAAGUGUUCAGAGUGUUUUUUAGUGUGCUGCUGUGCGGUUACCGAGGUGUUCCGAGUGUUUUUUAGCGUGUCGCUGUGCGGUUACCAAAGUGUUCAGAGUGUUUUUUAGUGUGCUGCUGUGCGGUUACCGAGGUGUUUCCGAGUGUUUUUUAGCGUGUCGCUGUGCGGUUACCAAGGUGUUCCGAGUGUUUUUUAGCGUGUCGCUGUGCGGUUACCAAGGUGUUCCGAGUGUUUUUUAGCGUGUCGCUGUGCGGUUACCGAGGUGUUCCGAGAGUUUUUUAGCGUGUCGCUGUGCAGUUACCGAGGUGUUCCGAGUGUUUUUUAGCGUGUCGCUGUGCGGUUACCGAGGUGUUCCGAGUGUUUUUUAGCGUGUCGCUGUGCGGUUACCAAAGUGUUCAGAGUGUUUUUUAGCGUGUCGCUGUGCGGUUACCGAGGUGUUCCGAGCGUGUU